GGAAUAUAGUCAAGGAUACUCACAAUGGCAAGUUGCAGUUCACUCUCACUACUCUGAUCUCUUGAAGCCGACAAAUGGGAGUUACCACCCCACAUUCUAGAUUGGAAAACUGAGAUCUAGAGUGAUUACCCAAGUAAGGACCAGAAUAAAGACCAACAGUAACAG
Molecule: long non-coding RNA, 165 nt
Organism: Lutra lutra (Eurasian river otter)
Lineage: Eukaryota; Metazoa; Chordata; Mammalia; Carnivora; Mustelidae
Exons: 3
Source: RefSeq, a predicted model, not a curated record